RNAcentral lists this long non-coding RNA (231 nucleotides) under Olea europaea (common olive). RNAcentral describes it as "long non-coding RNA (OEUR_LNC007072)". The record is from RNAcentral. Lineage: Eukaryota; Viridiplantae; Streptophyta; Magnoliopsida; Lamiales; Oleaceae.
UUCAAAGACGCUGGGAUGUGGUCUAGGAUCCUCUUCUCCAUCAUCUACGACCAACUUGAAUUUUGGCAACUUGUUUUUGAAUCCAGAUGUCACCAUGUUUACUCCAAGUGGCUGUGGGAAAGGAUUUUCGUCCACUGCCAUCUUCUUCUUAUCAUCGAACGUAAUUCGUCCUGAUUCAAUGGCAUCCUGCAAUACAUGGCGGAAAACCAAGCAAUUGUUAGUCAAAUGUGA